UGAGAGGUAUGGAAGGGAGAAAGCUCAGCUCUUAUUUGAUCCACAGUGCCAGUGCCAGGGGCCAUGUUGGUUACUUGCAGGCUGCCUUUUAUUUCUCUUCCUCACAGCUUGGCUCUCCUCUCUACUUCUUAGAAGGUAGGACAUGGUCCUCUUUGCCCCUGAGAGGAGAGACUGAGCCUGAGAACUUGUCAUUGAAGCUCUCAAAGGACAGGGCUGCAUGACAGCAGCAGGAUGGUACCUGGACAGGGAGAAGCAAGAUCUCUGGACCCUGUGUGGCUGAUGAGUGUGAGUCCUCAAGGGUUUCUCUGGCCUUUGAUACUUGGUGACUGGGUGAAAGCACACCAGGAAGAAACCCAAAGCAAUCCUCCCGGUUUUUUCACUCCCCGAGAUCUGGAGUGUAACUCUAUGGGAGCUCACACAGCUCUCCAGGAAGCUCAGUGAAACAAGCACCAGUCUUCUCAUCCCUGCUCUUAGGCCUGGACCCUUUGGUUUUUUGGGCUCAGGGGUCUCCAUGUUUCCAUAGGGAAUCUGGGACAAGGCUUUCCAGACACGACUAGCAUCUUGGGUCUCUGCAAAGACCUCUCUGUGAUCCUGUGAGUGAAUCUUCUCUCAAGCCAGAGAAAAGCAGAUGUGACAGUGCCAGUACAAGAAGAUGGAUCAGCCAUGGCCCAGCCGCUGUCUUCUUCAUGGCACUUCAAGGAGGGAGGUGACCGUUUUACUCCUUGAGCCAUCAGAAAGCCUAUGAGGAAGAAUUCAUAAACACACAGCUCCUGACUGGGAGGCAUCAUUCAUGAGACUCCUGGAUGUAGCAGGGAGCAAUCAGGACAAGGAAGACAAGCUGUACUGAGACUACUGGCUACAGAGAUAAGUAAAAAACGUCAGAUGGAUAAAGUGUGAACGAUGACACACAGCUAGCUACCUCAGGUACAGGGAGACAGAGCUCGAAGCGUGCAGAUUUGUUAAACACCCACGCCUCCCUGAACAGUACUGUGAGUACAGACAGUGGAAAGAACUAUGGGCUAUAGUUGGCUGCCUUUCUGUGCACAAUGUGACUUGCUGUGUCACCUUGAAGCCAAGCAAGUACCUCUAGGACACCAUGAAGCAACGUGAAUUACAGUGGUCCCUGUGAUGCCCACGAGGAGAUUUUAGUAUAGUGACUCCCGUGACACCCCUAAAGUCAUUAGAGCACAGUGGCCCCAUGUGCGUGGUAAGUAUUCAGAAAAAAGUGUUAUCCAUUCUGGUCAUGCACAGAUUUGUUUUUCUGGUAAGCACCAUAAUUAAUUGCUUGGCACUUAUUUUACAUUGGGUAAUAUAAGAAUUCCAGAGAUGUUAGUAUUUUAAAUGCGCAUGGGUUAUACAUGGAUACUACGCCAUUUUGUGUUAGGAACUCGACUGUCUCAGGAUUUUGGUACCCGAGCGGUAUCUCAGAGUAAGAAUACAUGGCCUCUGAGGCAUGAGUGGCUUCAUGGCUGAAACAUCCCCUUUAUUCAUCAUGUUGCUUUUGUGAUAAAAAGUGCAAUCCCAGUGUGGCACCUGCUUUGUUUCCUUUGCUCUUCACCAACUGAUUUUGGGAAUCAGAGAGUUGUGUUCAGUCUUAUCUAAUACUAUUUCUUUGGAGGCCAUUUUACUUCCUGGGAUGGUACUUGGGAUGGUGAUUCAGGAUCGACAGUUGAUCCUUGGGCCUUCCAGAUGUGGGGGUUGAAGGGUUAUGACUAAUGUUUUCUGGUUCUCCAGAUGGCUUCUAUCAGCUUGAGCAAACUUGGACUAUUUCUGGAAGACUUGGGUAAGAGGAGGACUUGGUGUCAUUUAGUAGGUGAAUGGAUAAGACCCAGUUGGCUGUGGAGUUUUCCGUCUGGAGUCUCAAAGAGAAAGGGAACUGUCACCUGAGAACAUAUGUUUCUGUCUCCUGAUGCAUUCUCCAGGGAGGGAGGCUGCUUCCAGGGGACACAUCAUGUAGUUACAGGGUGACCAGAAGAGAGGAGAAAGAGGAAGGUAAUAGCAGUGGUCCUGGAGAAAGAUGAUGGCAGUCUAGGGAGGAAGGAUGAAUGUUAGGACCCCGUGAAUGUCUAUUUCUUAGCUGGGGAUGUAACAGGUGAUGGUACGAGGUACCAGAGAGGCAACCAUGACCACAAAUAUAUCCCCUUAUCUGUUCAACUACAGAGGAUUUUGGGAAAGGUUGCUUCUUUUGGCCUCUCAUCUCUAGGGAUGAGAAGAAUCCAGCCCAACUCCUCCCAUCCCAGACCCUCCCUACCCCCGCCAAGGAAGAGCCUGUCACAGGAGAAGGAUAACACUCCCGUGUCCAAGUCUUCAUUUCACUUGCAGCUCGGCACUAAUCCAAUUGCUGCCUCUAACCUAAUUCUCCAUUGUUGCUAGAGUCCUUUGCUUUGCUGAUAUUAAAACUCUUUUCAUUUAAUUGUGCACAAGAUAGAUCCUCCUUGGCCAUCAGGUGGUAAAUAUAGAAUAGCUGAUGUGUAGCUCUAAUUUCUUCCCUGGCAGGCCUCCUGCAGCUCUGAGUAAUUGGGGACCACAAUAUUCUGAAAGGAAGGAGACAGGAAGGGAGAGCAGGAAGAGGCCUCUGCCUGACAUUAUCAGAAGGUCACAGGUAAAAGGCGUCUGCCCAUGUCUAUAGGGUCAGCUGCUUUUCCCCUGACUUUAGUAUGUCACAUGAUGACUAGAACCCUUAGAUGCACAAGAAUCUAGAAUUUCUGAAGCAAAGGUGAUUACGGGAUGUUGUUCCAUUGUCCAGAAUGUAAGGGACCAUAUUAUCCUCCCCAAGAGUUGGGUAAUAAGUCCCUCAUUCUCAUUCAAGGGUAGAUACCCCUGGUCUCUGUGCAAGGUCACCAAAGAGCCACACAAUAUCAUAGCUCUUUUAUUCUCUAAGGCCCCAAGUGAUGAUGAACUGUAAUCUUGUUUGGUAAUCACAAGGUUUCCCAGCAAGUCAAGGAAAGGGGAGAUAUCAGUGCAGAUGUCUUGAUUUCCAGGUCGGGGAGAAAGUGUAUGGAAGGUGGGACCACUGUGUGUUCCCAUAGGUAGGGAGGGACAGUACAAUGCAAGAGGCUCCAGGUGCCCUUAGCAUGCUCCGAGUUCUUUCCCAUUCACCCAGAAGAGUGGGGCUCCAGUGUCAAUCACUGAUCUAGUUUAGGAUCACAGCCCCCUGUAGAGGAAGAAGGAAGCAUCCUUGGAUGAACCACUGGUCAACAGGCAGGGACCUGCUUGGUUGUGACUACAGCUUCCUGGAUACUCGUGCCUUCCUGAUUCCCCUAGGCUCUGGAAAAUACAGCAAUCUCCUCCGUUUUCUCAAGGAGAGUGACAGCUUUCUUUGGGUCAGUUGCUAACUCCCUGAGCUUCUAGGGUCAUCCCGCAAGACCAUGGGUGAACCUGGGUUUUUAGACUGUCCAGUUUCCCACCAGAAACUUCCCUGCACUGCAGUUCACUGGGUUCUCCUAUCACCUCUGCCCUUUAAGAGCUGGUAAAAACAUUUCUCCCAGGCUGGGUCCUAGGCUACCUUUGUUCUCUCCAGCUUCACAGUGAGAUAUGGAUCUAGCAUUUGAUGAGGCUCCUUUUUCCUGAAAACCUAGGGAUCCUUGAGGGCCCUUUCCUUAAGGGCCCUGUUACCUUCGAAUCCUCAGGCAGGUUUUCCUAACCAGACUCCAGCACAGCACAUCUCAGCAAGGAUCUGCCUCUCCACUUCUCCACCUGUUGCUGACCCAGGACUCUCAGGACAAAAGGAGAAGACUCUCAGGGGUCAAGUAGCCAUAAAACCCUCUCAACUAUGGUCCUGAAGACACCAAGGUGCUUUCAAAGACUCUAUCCUGGAUUGGUCCCCACUGAUGCAUAUCUCAGAUUCUAGUGCCAAGCAUUUUAGCUUGCAGGUGAAUCACCCUCCUCGACUUUACAUUUUCAGAACCAGGAUCAGCUGGGCACAUGAUGGCUGGAAAUACUGGCCCAGAUGGUCUACUCACAAGUGUAUCAGGGCCAGACUCAUCAUAGCUCUCAGAUCCUUUCGACUCAGACAAGGAAAACUGAGGCCAGGGACCUAGUCUAGAAGGUAUAGUCACUGAGCCUCCUGCAUAACAUCCUAAGGAUCUUAAAAUUUCAGAUUCUGAUCUAGGAUCAGAUUUCUGUUACUGCAGUAGAACACUGACGGACAGUUUACAAAAACAAUGGUCAGAACCAUAGGAAUCUAACUCCAUCUCCACCCUCUACCAGCUGGGUGACCUCUCACAAGUUGCCUAACCUCUCUGGCCAUCCGUUUCCUGAUCUAAAAUAUGAGGAUUAUAGUGGUAUCUGUCUCCUGAGGUGGCCUGAGAUGCUAUAGAGAUAGCGUUUCCAAAGCCCAGCACAGCAUCUGGCAAGAGGCACAUGAUAAUUAAUUACCUCACACUUCCCCUCAAACCAGUGCAAACCAUAAUGAGCACUAGCGAUUCCAGCAACCACCAAGCAAGCAUUUAAUUUAUUGUCUUGGAAAACGGAAGGGCCCGUAUCAAGGGACUCUUUGGAUGGCGUUUGCAGAAAGAAGGAAUGCACAGAUAUCUUUUCCUCCUCCACAGAGAACCAGGAAGGGGGGGGUGCAGAUUCACUCUGUCCCUCUUCAAACUGUCUACAGGAAGCAGGGGAGGCACAAAGUUAGACCACCACUGGCUUCCCCCUGGGGGGCUUCCAAAAGUCAGGGAUGCCUUGACUUCUGUAUGCGUGAGUUUCUUGUUUUGUUUUUUUUUCCCUACUGAUUUCUACUGCAUAGGGGGAGCUUCUCAGGAAGCCUUGGCAGAGUGCUAAGCAAAGAUGUGAGUUCUUCCCAGUGAUGGGAAUAGAGGGACCUCCCUUGCCUAGCACAAAACACUAAAGGAGCAUCAGGAGCUCAGAACAGUAGCUCUCCUUGUUCAUGGAUCAUCCUAUGCUUCAAAAUAAACUUACGUAUUGGGCAUAGCAUAGUAAGAGAGAGACAAACAACUAUGAAUAAAAACCAGCCACAGCAUACUUCAAUAAAAGUUGCAAGACCAUAGUCAUUUUCUCUGUCAGUAUGUCUUAAUGUAUUGGGCUCACAUAUUCUGUGAUGCUGUGGGUGACAUGAUGUCCAGGUGCCAAGAUGAAAAGAAGGGGAUGGUCCUGGAGAGCCUGCUAGACUGUGAGGAGAGAGGGUUCUGGAAGGCAAACCAUGUGAUGCUACGAGAGUGGAUCUGAUAGCCAAUAUGGCUGUUCAGUGGCUAGUAGGCCAGUGGGAGUAUACACACAGUGGACAUGAUAGACCAACGGAUGGUCCCUGGUUCCUGGUUCCUGCUGGUGAGUGUGUAUGGAUCUUGCCAGUAUUAAUGUAAUCACAUUCCCCAGAAUAAGUUGUUUAGUUCUGAAAUUUUCCACUUAAUAUUUUAGAUUGUGGUUGAAUAGAAGUAACUGAAAUCAAAGAAAGCUCAAGGGAGGGCUAUUAUAAUAUUUUAUUAACAUCGUGUAUUAAAAGAUUUAAAAUUAGUUUUAAAAAUCCAUGAAAACCAAAGCAUCAAACUUUUAAGCAGAAAGACGUCAAUCUUGGAUCUGUGGCCUCUGAAAGCAACUGCCUUCUGCCUAAUGUGCCUGAUCUUCAGGAUUAACUCUUUUGAGGCCAGUGCUGCCUGUGGCUCUUAGAAUCCAGACUUCUGAGAGCUCCACAGUAGCUCAGCUGUGAGAGGCUGGGAUGCACCCAUGCCCUCUGCUUUGAAGGAUGAAAGGAGAGAAGGGCAUUUAGCUGCAGAGAAGACUGGGAUGCAAUCUGGAAGGAAGUUACCUGCAAGUGAACAGGCGAGACUCUGCCAAGGGGCCCCAACAUCUGCUUCCCUGCAUCUAUCUAUGGGACUCUUACUGUGGCUCACUUUUGUACAGAAAUGUAAGGAACUAUGGAUUGAUGCUGUAAAUGCUGUCAUCGAUGCUGUAAAUGAAGCUAUGCUGUCGUCGAGGACACGGUGAGCCAGUGUUUCCCACUCCAGACAUCAGGAGUCCUCUCUGCUGGUGACCUUUGUGACUUCCAGGUCCAGUCCAGUCUUCUCAGUCAUCUUCACAAUCAUCUAGUCUGAGAGGUCUUUCCCUCAAGCACACAUUUGAGACCUGUGUGCUGAGCUGUGGUGUAGCCGCACAGUCUUGAAUUUUCAACUAGCAUCAGCACACAUUCAAAGUUAAGUUGUACCAAAAGGCCAGAGUGAAGUGGGCAUUGCAAAUGGGUCCGUUUUCUCCAGGGCCAGUCUCACCUCUAGGCUGCGGUCACCCUUACUUCUUUUGGAUCUUUCCUCCCUUAUUUAGUUCCUCAGUACAUAGUAGGUGUAUGCAUGGUUUCAUCAUUUAUUUUUUGCUUUGUUCAUUCAUUCUUCCAUUCAUUUACCUUGUUAUGGCAAAUAUGACUUAACUUCCUCAUGUCCUUUCUGCCCCCUUUCCCUCCCUCUUCUCCACUAGCUAUCUUGCCAUUGAAUAAAAGCAACUAUUGAGUCCAGUUGUACCUUGGCGUUCAUUCUCCUUUAUCCAAUGCUCGUUUUCCCUCAAAUUAAAUGUCCCCUUUCUUGUUGCCUGAUGCCUUUUGUCUAGGACCCUUCCUUCCAAAUCGUUAGUGUCUGUCUCCUUUCCUUCACAUGUGUCUGCCUCAUUCAUGUCCUCUAUUCUGGUUUGGAGCUGCAGUUUGCUGGGGUUGACACCCAGGCAUGUCUUAGAGCACCGAGCCUCUUCAUGCCACAGCCCCUUUCCUGCUCCCCUCCGUUAAGUUCUACAUGCUCUGGAUCUCUUUUCUUCCCCCUCCUUGGUUUGGGCCCUUGUUUCAGUGGCACACUGCCUUCCAGAGCACCUGAGGACAGAACACCCUGGCAGCAGCACUUGUAGAUCUUGUCAGCCUGAAGAUGUCUUAUACUUGAAUGGUGUUUCAGAGCACAGAACUGUGGGGUAGAAAACAUUUAUCCCUAUAUUUUCUUUUGUUUAUUUGAACUUUUGACACAGGGUAUCACAUUGUAGCCCAUGAGGGUCUUGUCUUCUGAUCCUCCUGCCAAAUGCUGGGAGUGAAGGGGCCAUCAUGGCUGGCUUCAAAGUGCUGGCAUAGCUCUCCGUUAAGCCCAGAGUCAUCUUGCUUUUGUGAUUCCUGGGCCUGGACAGCUGUGAGGCCUCAGAAGAUCCUCAAGUCUGGUUAUAUAGAUUUGCGUUUGCAAUCUCCUCUGCUCACUGUUC
This 7173-nucleotide small RNA is filed under the name Rattus norvegicus (Norway rat). RNAcentral's name for it is "uncharacterized LOC102551107". Lineage: Eukaryota; Metazoa; Chordata; Mammalia; Rodentia; Muridae. The record is from RNAcentral.